GAAAGGAGUGGCCCCUCAGGAGGAAGGGGCGGGGAGAUCCCAGCUACUAGAGGACGCCCGUUCCAAUGGCAACUCUGCCAAGGCGCCUAUGAGAGCCUCUUGGCUUUUACCUGGUCUGCGAGAAAUCAAACUUUGGGCACAAGUCAUGAAGCCGACAAGCCCGGGAGACACAGUGUCAGAAUUACAAGGAACACUACAAGGCCUGUUAGAGAAGAAAGGGUAGAAUCCCGAGAAUGUUUUCCCCACAGUGCUGAUAAGGAGAGACCACUAUCCCAUCUACUGCUACAGCUCUGGAGACAGAGCUCUCCCACCUGUCAUAUAGAACACAAGGACCAAUCUGCAGAGAAAGAGCAUCCAAACCUGAUCCAGUGGACACUGGGGAAAAACUCACCACAGCUGAGUGUGGAAAAACAAGGCCAACACACACAUCUCUGCACAGAUACAUCUCCCAUAAAGAAACUAAAGUGUUAAUUUACAGGGCACUGUUGCAGACCCACUUCAGCUGGAAGCUAGGAACAUGGACAAGGAGCCUCUCUACCACCAAGGGAGAGAGAGGAAUGUGCUCUUGUCCUGGCAUUGCAUCCACAGGAGGGGCAGGAAAUUCUUUGAAGGUCUCGCAUCUGGGGCUCGAUCUCGUGCAGAGGAGCAUUUCCGAAGACACUGGCCGCUCCCACAAUGGCUCCGAAGAACCCAGCGACCAGCGGGUUCAUGAGUUUGUUGGGGCUGUCCACUCGGUACCAGCUGCGCAGGGAUGUCAGGACAAAGAAACAAGUUGCCUGGUUCCAGCCCUGCUUCAGCACGGGGCCUGUGGGGCCCCGGUAAGUCCCGGUGUUCCCGCACAAUCUCCUAACCCUGUGGAAGAAUCCCCUGUACUUGGAUUUGGAGAGGUCUGGCCAUGGAUUAACUUCACCUUGAUGGUCUCCAUGGGACAUAGGACCACCACGGCCUCGGCCACGCUAGCUCACUGGCCGCACCGCUGCCCGCCUUGCUGUUCACCAGUCCCUGGGCAUCCCGCAUCUGGUUGCUGAGGAACGCCUGACGCCGCCUUGUGGAUGAAGCCGCAGAGCAGGGAGCUGAGGCUGCGGCCCAGGCCCAGGCUGCCUUGGCUGCGACUGUGUGCCUGCAGGCCCCAUGCCCGGUAUCCGGUGGAUGCGAGUGCUAGUCCAGCUGCAGCUGCAUCUUCACGAACUCGGUGGGGAACGGGAUGCAGAUUUUUUUUUUCUUUUCCUUCCUUCCUUCCUUCCUUCCAACUUC
This 1254-nucleotide long non-coding RNA is filed under the name Homo sapiens (human). RNAcentral's name for it is "non-protein coding lnc-VSTM2B-9:5". The record is from RNAcentral. Lineage: Eukaryota; Metazoa; Chordata; Mammalia; Primates; Hominidae.